This 254-nucleotide ribosomal RNA is filed under the name uncultured bacterium. Its description in RNAcentral is "partial 16S ribosomal RNA". It matches the Rfam family "Bacterial small subunit ribosomal RNA", at positions 524 to 776 of the family's 1533-position model. The record is from RNAcentral.
UACGGGGGGGGCAAGCGUUGUUCGGAUUUACUGGGCGUAAAGGGCGCGUAGGCGGCCACCGCAAGUCGACUGUGAAAUCUCCGGGCUUAACCCGGAAAGGUCAGCCGAUACUGCGGGGCUAGAGUGCAGAAGGGGCAACUGGAAUUCUCGGUGUAGCGGUGAAAUGCGUAGAUAUCGAGAGGAACACCUGCGGCAAAGGCGGGUUGCUGGGCUGACACUGACGCUGAUGUGCGAAAGCUAGGGGAGCGAACGGG